Molecule: non-coding RNA, 360 nt
Organism: Microtus ochrogaster (prairie vole)
Lineage: Eukaryota; Metazoa; Chordata; Mammalia; Rodentia; Cricetidae
Source: the annotation of a RefSeq genome assembly
AUGAGGAUUCUCAGUCACCUCCUGAGUCUCCUUGUUCUCUGCCUCCUAGGUGUUCAAUGUGACAUUCACAUGACCCAAAGUCCAGUUUCUCUGUCUACCUUUAUAGGACACACUGUCAAGUGUCAGGCCAGUCAAGACAUUGGUAGAUAUUUAGGCUGGUACCAGCAGAAACCUGGGGCAAGUCCCAAGUUUCUGAUCUAUUAUGCAUCCAAUUUACUCGCUGAUGUUCCAAAGAGGUUCAGUGGCAGUGGAUCUGGAACAGAUUAUUGGCUCAUUAUCAUUAACCUGGAUCCUGAAGACUCUGGAAUUUACUAUUGUCAACAGUGUUAUACUUACCCUCCACAGUGCUACAAAGCAUAA